RNAcentral lists this ribosomal RNA (373 nucleotides) under uncultured organism. Its description in RNAcentral is "partial 16S ribosomal RNA". It matches the Rfam family "Bacterial small subunit ribosomal RNA", at positions 527 to 896 of the family's 1533-position model. The record is from RNAcentral.
GUAGGUGGCAAGCGUUGUCCGAAAUUAUUGGGCGUAAAGCGCGCGCAGGCGGUUCUUUAAGUCUGAUGUGAAAGCCCACGGGCUCAACCGUGAGGGUCAUUGGAAACUGGAGAACUUGAGUACAGAAGAGGAAAGCGGAAUUCCACGUGUAGCGGUGAAAUGCGUAGAGAUGUGGAGGAACACCAGUGGCGAAGGCGGCUUUCUGGUCUGUAACUGACGCUGAGGCGCGAAAGCGUGGGGAGCAAACAGGAUUAGAUACCCUGGUAGUCCACGCCGUAAACGAUGAGUGCUAAGUGUUAGGGGGGUUUCCGCCCCUUAGUGCUGCAGCUAACGCAUUAAGCACUCCGCCUGGGGAGUACGGCCGCAAAGGCUG